RNAcentral lists this small RNA (3948 nucleotides) under Pan troglodytes (chimpanzee). RNAcentral describes it as "retained intron". Lineage: Eukaryota; Metazoa; Chordata; Mammalia; Primates; Hominidae. The record is from RNAcentral.
GUUCUAGAACAUUCUCAUCACCCAUAUUUACAUUUAUUUUUAAUAACUCUCAUGUGUAAGCUGAGUGUUUUAAACUUUAGAAACUUCUGGGGGUUGCUGAACUUGAUAAAAAUAUUCAGUAUACAAGUGUUCUUUAUAGUUCACUCAUCAUUUUCAUAGAAUUAGGGUUUUAAAAUUAGAAAGUAAUUCAGGCCAUUUCCAUCUCCUGUCCCUCAAAUCCCAGCUCAGUUUUGGGAUGAGGUGUCAAGUAUAAGUUUGUAAGUACACCAGUCAUUUGCACGGCUAAGAUAAACAUCUAGAGAAGUCUGUAUACGACUUGCUUAAAGCUGAAUGUUGAUUUACUGUUCACAUGAUUUGGGAGAUUUUAGUCACUGGGACUGAGCUAAUGGAGUUGAAGCAUUGUUGUGGGCAUUGUAUCUCCAGACCAGUGUGUAAUACAAAGAGUUCUUGCAGACGUAGGACAGAAUUGGAGAAACAGCUUCUAACAGUGGGAAGACUCUCAGUACAACCAAGCUAUUCCUUACCUUUCUGAUUUCUGAACUUUUUUCCAUGUGAUACCUGCUGCUUUGAAGGCACUAAAAUAACAGAAGCAGAUAGAGCAGAAAUCCUCACUCAGAUCUUCCUCCUUCCUACCUGUAUAACAGUUUGUGGCUUGCCCUGUCUGUUUUGUGUGUUUCGUUACGCGUAUGUGAGUAUGUGCACAUGAUUUCCAGAAAGGAGAAGUGCACGAUACUGCCCGUGCUCUGUGACUCCUGAGUGCACGCUUCCUCUGCAUUUGGGCUCCUAGGUCGGCCUCGUCCUGUGGACGUUGCCCCUUGUUUCGUGCCAUCCACACAUUCCUGAUGCCCCCCUGCUCUCCUCUUUCUCCAGAGUACUUUUUCCAAACAUGUGACUUGCACAUUUGUUAUGUUUAUUGUUUGUUUUCCACUUGUAGAAGUGUGCCGCUAGGCAGGAAUGUUUGAUUUGUUCACUGAUGAUCCCAGAUCUCUAGAACCCUGCCUUGCCUGUAGAGGGUGCUUGGUAAAUAAUGCUCUGAAUGAAUGGCUCCAUGAUCCUCGUUUCUAAGAGCUAGCACGAUUUCUCACUCAGUCCUGGUUGGACACAGGUUCCCUGGAACAGUGCUGUCGUGGUUAUCUUCUCACGUGUCUUUGUUUCUGAAUUUGAAACGCUUUGAGUUUUUUAUUGUUUUUGUUCUUCCUCAUUAGUUUGAGUCCCUUGCAGAUAGGCUUUCAUUUUGUCCAGUCACCUGUUCAGGGAGCCCUGAGGGCCUUGGCCCACGUCUGCAGGUAACUGGUUUUCUUACUUUUAUUUUUUUAUUUUGAGAUGAAGUCUCGCUCUGUCACCAGGCUGGAGUGCAGCGGUGCGAUCUCAGCUCACUGCAACCUCCGCCUCCUGCGUUCAAGCGAUUCUCCUGCCUCAGCCUUCCGAGUAGCUGGGACUAUAGGCACGUGCCACCACGCCCGGCUAAUUUUUUGUAUUUUUAGUAGAGACGGGGUUUCACCAUAUUAGCCAGGAUGGUCUCGAUCUCCUGACCUCGUGAUCCGCCUGCCUGGGCCUCCCAAAGUGCUGGGAUUACAGGUGUGAGCCACCGCGCCCAGCCCUGCAGGUAACUGUUAAUGUAGGAAGUGCUGCCUCUGGGCACCUUGGCCCCAGGGUUCAUUAGCAGUUGCCCCUGGUGGGUUUUUGUUGGCUGUGAUGAGAAGUGCUUCUGUUCCCCCUCCACCACACUCCUGCAACUGUUUAAACAGUGGCUGUGACCCCCUGAGAUGAUCCAGGGUUUCAAGGCGUGCACACGUCUGUGUUUCGGUUUUCAGAAGUAUCACCUUGGGGUGACUCUCAACCUACAUGGAUUUUCAAAGAUUUAUUCAAUGUGUUUUUCAGAAAGUGUUGUGAAGAGCGAAGACUUUUCGCUCCCAGCUUAUAUGGAUCGGCGUGACCACCCCUUGCCGGAGGUGGCCCAUGUCAAGCACCUGUCUGCCAGCCAGAAGGCCUUGAAGGAGAAGGAGAAGGCCUCCUGGAGCAGCCUCUCCAUGGAUGAGAAAGUCGAGUGUGGGUAUUGAAGGGACCCACAGGCGCGCCCAGCAGCUCUCAGAAGUGUGUGUGUGACAGAGCCUCUGCUCACUUCUGGGCCUACUGUCUAGAGAGCAGUCUUGCACAGGAGGGUUGCUCUGCUGGGUUUCGGGGUCACUGUCCCAGGGCCCUAGUUUAUGUGCUCACCAGUCACUUAGCUCUGCCAGCUGACAGGAUCUUUUGCUAGGCCCCCUUCUCUGUGCUGAGUGGAGGUACCCUCUCAGCAUAUCUGCUGGGUAAGACAUUGUUAACUGUAAAUUAUUGAAAGAAACUCAGCAAAAUGCAUAGUGUUUGGUAUGAAAGGGGCAGAAAAAUAACAAGAUUAAAUAGACCCUAAUACUGUAAUUCAAGUAAGAAAUAAUUUUGCAGUUUUAAUUUGCACCUGAAGCGAACUGUAUGCAUUUUCUUCCUUCCUUGCCCUGUCACAUGCCUGCGUGGGCACGUGUGUGCACGUACGUGCAUGAACAUGAUGUGGCCUGGGUUGGUGUAUCCUUCAGCUCUGUGUUUCCUCCUUCACAAGUGUGGUUUUGGGGAGAAGUGGUUGAAUGUUGCAGAGGAGGGAGCUGCUGACCUUUGUGCCUGUAAAUGGCUGUCCUCUCUGCCCCCAGUGUAUCGCAUUAAGUUCAAGGAGAGCUUUGCUGAGAUGAACAGGGGCUCGAACGAGUGGAAGACGGUUGUGGGCGGUGCCAUGUUCUUCAUCGGUUUCACCGCGCUCGUUAUCAUGUGGCAGAAGCACUAUGGUGAGUAGAGAGGGAGGAAGGCAUGGGCGCCUGGACUGGGGCUCCAGCCUGCAGUGCCCAUUGGUGGGCUGCGGGGGACCUCCACACCCUGAGGCCAUGAGAUAGGGACUGCAUUCCAGAGUUCAUCUCAGGAUUGUUUCCAGGCCUUGGUGACCUGGAGAACUGAAGUCGUGGGAGGUUAGUUUAUAAGCCAGCAUCUGAUUAUUCAUAGCCAUGCUUGUUGGGUGGUGAAAUACCUUAACUACUUUGUACGGCACACCAUGUUUUCAGGAGCAAUUUAUGUGCUCGCCAGUCACUUAGCAAAAGAUGACUUCGUGAAGGUUCGAGCAAGGAUAAGGGGACUCAUUCAUUUAAUGACUGUCUCGACUGUUGUGAGGACUGCAUCUCAACAGCCUGCAUCUGGGGGUCCCGACCUGAUAGUUUGUGUGUGGGCAUUGCCGGGUUGCUCGCUCGUGGUAAUGACUCUUCCCCGAGGUUCUUUCUGUCCAGGCAGAACAGGCAUUUUUGCAUUCUGAAUAGGUAUAUUCUCGUACUUUUGGUUUGAAUGUGGAUGUGGGUUAAUAACAGACCCGAAUCUAUUUGAUCUUCCAGGUCACCUUGGGCUCUGUUUGUCAGAUCCUGUUAUCCAUAGCCUUUAGAGAAGACCUUCUGCUUUUAGCUUAUUUUGUUGCUAACUUUUUACAAACAAAGGGCUAAUUUUAAAAUGUCAGUGUUGUCAGUGGUCAGAAACCGUGUGUUUGAGCGGGUGUUGAGUGGCAGGUGGCUCUGCUGACCUGGUGGCUGGUGUGUUGGGAGGAUUUAACCUGUGUGAGGGAUUGGCCUAGAAACAACCUGUUGAGAUAGUCUUGCCCCAUAACCUGUCUCACACCAUAGUGUACGGCCCCCUCCCGCAAAGCUUUGACAAAGAGUGGGUGGCCAAGCAGACCAAGAGGAUGCUGGACAUGAAGGUGAACCCCAUCCAGGGCUUAGCCUCCAAGUGGGACUACGAAAAGAACGAGUGGAAGAAGUGAGAGAUGCUGGCCUGCGCCUGCACCUGCGCCUGGCUCUGUCACCGCCAUGCAACUCCAUGCCUAUUUACUGGAAACCUGUUAUGCCAAACAGUUGUACCACUGCUAAUAAAUGACCAGUUUACCUGAAA